This 491-nucleotide ribosomal RNA is filed under the name uncultured bacterium. RNAcentral describes it as "partial 16S ribosomal RNA". It matches the Rfam family "Bacterial small subunit ribosomal RNA", at positions 29 to 506 of the family's 1533-position model. The record is from RNAcentral.
AGUGAACGCUGGCGGUAGGCCUAACACAUGCAAGUCGAACGGCAGCACAGUAAGAGCUUGCUCUUACGGGUGGCGAGUGGCGGACGGGUGAGGAAUAAAUCGGAAUCUACUUUUUCGUGGGGGAUAACGUAGGGAAACUUACGCUAAUACCGCAUACGACCUACGGGUGAAAGCAGGGGAUCUUCGGACCUUGCGCGAUUGAAUGAGCCGAUGUCGGAUUAGCUAGUUGGCGGGGUAAAGGCCCACCAAGGCGACGAUCCGUAGCUGGUCUGAGAGGAUGAUCAGCCACACUGGAACUGAGACACGGUCCAGACUCCUACGGGAGGCAGCAGUGGGGAAUAUUGGACAAUGGGCGCAAGCCUGAUCCAGCCAUACCGCGUGGGUGAAGAAGGCCUUCGGGUUGUAAAGCCCUUUUGUUGGGAAAGAAAAGCAGCAGGUUAAUACCCCGCUGUUCUGACGGUACCCAAAGAAUAAGCACCGGCUAACUUCGU